GGAAGGGUAGCAUAGUCUGGUUGGUGCAACCGGCUGAUAACCGGUAGGUCGGCGGUUCAAAUCCGCCCCUUUCCA
This 75-nucleotide transfer RNA is filed under the name archaeon. RNAcentral's name for it is "tRNA-Ile". It matches the Rfam family "tRNA". Rfam says of the family: Transfer RNA (tRNA) molecules are approximately 80 nucleotides in length. Their secondary structure includes four short double-helical elements and three loops (D, anti-codon, and T loops). Further hydrogen bonds mediate the characteristic L-shaped molecular structure. tRNAs have two regions of fundamental functional importance: the anti-codon, which is responsible for specific mRNA codon recognition, and the 3' end, to which the tRNAs corresponding amino acid is attached (by aminoacyl-tRNA synthetases). tRNAs cope with the degeneracy of the genetic code in two manners: having more than one tRNA (with a specific anti-codon) for a particular amino acid; and 'wobble' base-pairing, i.e. permitting non-standard base-pairing at the 3rd anti-codon position. The record is from RNAcentral.